GAUGAACGCUGGCGGCGUGCUUAACACAUGCAAGUCGAACGAUGAAGAAAAGAAUCGAAGCUUCGGCAGAAAUUCAUUUCGGAUUAGUGGCAGACGGGUGAGUAACGCGUGAGCAACCUACCUCUUACAAAGGGAUAGCCUCGGGAAACCGGGAUUAAUACCAUAUAACAUUGUGACGAAGCAUUUCGAUGCAAUCAAAGCUACGGCGGUAAGAGAUGGGCUCGCGUCCCAUUAACCGGAUGGUGAGGUAACGGCUCACCAUAGUGACGAUGGGUAACCGGCCUGAGAGGGUGAACGGUCACACUGGAACUGAGACACGGUCCAGACUCCUACGGGAGGCAGCAGUGGGGAAUAUUGCACAAUGGAGGGAACUCUGAUGCAGCGACGCCGCGUGAGUGAUGAAGGAAUUCGUUUCGUAAAACUCUGUUCUAUGGGAAGAAAAGGACUGUACCAUAGGAGAAAGCUCCGGCUAAAUACGUG
This 480-nucleotide ribosomal RNA is filed under the name uncultured bacterium. RNAcentral describes it as "partial 16S ribosomal RNA". It matches the Rfam family "Bacterial small subunit ribosomal RNA", at positions 28 to 507 of the family's 1533-position model. The record is from RNAcentral.